RNAcentral lists this ribosomal RNA (245 nucleotides) under uncultured bacterium. RNAcentral's name for it is "partial 16S ribosomal RNA". It matches the Rfam family "Bacterial small subunit ribosomal RNA", at positions 528 to 772 of the family's 1533-position model. The record is from RNAcentral.
UAGGGGGCAAGCGUUAUCCGGAUUUACUGGGUGUAAAGGGAGCGCAGGCGGCCGUGCAAGUCAGGAGUGAAAUACCGGGGCCCAACCCCGGGGCUGCUCUUGAGACUGCGUGGCUGGAGUGUCGGAGGGGCAGGCGGAAUUCCUAGUGUAGCGGUGAAAUGCGUAGAUAUUAGGAGGAACACCAGUGGCGAAGGCGGCCUGCUGGACGACGACUGACGCUGAGGCUCGAAAGCGUGGGGAGCAAA